RNAcentral lists this non-coding RNA (28 nucleotides) under Rattus norvegicus (Norway rat). The record is from RNAcentral. Lineage: Eukaryota; Metazoa; Chordata; Mammalia; Rodentia; Muridae.
UUUCCUUGAGAGGAGGGAAGGAGUCUGC